AUCGACACCCAUGACUAUGAGGUGAAGAUGCGGAACAUGAAGCGUUUCUUCGACGAAGGCGACAAGGUCAAGGUCACCCUGCGGUUCCGCGGACGCGAAAUGGCGCACCAGGACCUGGGCGUUGCGCUGCUCAACAAGGUGCGGGACGAGACGGCGGAGUUCGCCAAGGUCGAAUCCCACCCGCGGCUGGAAGGCCGUCAGAUGGUGAUGGUGCUGGCGCCGAUCGCGCGCUGAGGCCUGCCACCCUGCACGGCCGCGACACGCGGCGGUUUUCACGAAACCCGGCCUUAAAAAAGGGCCGG
This 302-nucleotide unclassified non-coding RNA is filed under the name Stappia indica. RNAcentral describes it as "Long range pseudoknot". The record is from RNAcentral. Lineage: Bacteria; Pseudomonadati; Pseudomonadota; Alphaproteobacteria; Hyphomicrobiales; Stappiaceae.